Cercocebus atys (sooty mangabey) is the source of this 3777-nucleotide long non-coding RNA. RefSeq lists it as uncharacterized. The record is from RefSeq and is a predicted model, not a curated record. The transcript is spliced from 3 exons. Lineage: Eukaryota; Metazoa; Chordata; Mammalia; Primates; Cercopithecidae.
AUUACAUCCCCAAAAGAUUUAUACAGUACCAAUUCUAUGAUUACUGACUAUGAAAAUUAACUGUUUUUUCUAUGCAUCACAUGUACACAGCUUCCAAGUGGAACACUGGUUUAUAGUCAGCGAGAUAAGUUCCAGUCCUGGAUCAUCCAUUUACUGGCUGUGGACUCUGAUCAAUCCAAAGGACACUAAGUGGCAAGAGAAAUGAAUAUGGCAAGGAUAGGGGGAAUCCUGUGGUUACCCAAAUCAGAAUGCUAAAGCCCAAGCAAGGAAGUAACAAACCCCCAGUAACAAUGAGCACACCUGGCUCUGACAUCUUUUCUGAAGACCAUACUCUGAAACAGGAUCCAAGGCUCCUUGGAGAAAUGGCUGAUCCCAAGUCUAGGACAGGGAAACUAUAAGAUGAGCCUGGGACAUCUUUGCCAGGAAGGAAAGAAGUGCUAAAAGACUUAUGAGAACAUGUCAAAAAGACUCUUGAAGGAGUUCUAACUUGCAGGGGUCUGACCCGCAGACCCUGAGCCACUGACGGAUGAAUGAAGUACACUGACACACAGAUAAUCUGCUUUGCUUGUCCAGCUGGGUGUCCGAGCCGCUUACAGACUCCCUGGAGAGUACUGUAAACAGUUGUGACUGUGGCCCUGACCAGCUAGUGAGACUCGCAUUUAUUUGGUAAAGAUUAAUUGACAAAGGCUUGAGUCAACAGCACUAGAGGGUAAUUGACAUUGUGGACUUCCCAAGUAGAAAGACUUGGGGGAGUGAGACUCGCAUUUAUUUGGUAAAGAUUAAUUGACAAAGGCUUGAGUCAACAGCGCUAGAGGGUAAUUGACAUUGUGGACUUCCCAAGUAGAAAGACUUGGGGGAGUGAGACUCACAUUUAUUUGGUAAAGAUUAAUUGACAAAGGCUUGAGUCAACAGCACUAGAGGGUAAUUGACAUUGUGGACUUCCCAAGUAGAAAGCAAUUAAGUACCUGUGGUACAUCAAAGGUUAGUCUUAAGACCACAUGAGUAAAUAAGCUAGCUAGAUAACUUCCCCAUAUUCCUUAGUUACUAAUUUAACUUGUUUAACUAAAGGUAAAGGGAGCAGGCCACCUUCAGCCAGAUCUAUUACUGAAGUUAUACAAACUCUCAGGCCUUACAAGAGAGUUUGUUGCUAUUAUUAUAACUAUCUUUAAUAUUUUUCCCACCAGACUAAUUGAACCCCCACACUCACUGACCAAAUCUGGAAUAAUCUGAGCAUCAAACUAAGUAAUGAAAGCAACUGGUUUUAACCUACUGAAUAAGAUAGGAACCCAUGAGUCCACACUGAAAUAAAUAAAUGAAUGGACAAAUUGAAAGUCUGAUGAGGAACAGGAUAUUUGCAUAGUCUCAAAGUGCCUCCUUACAAAGUAUUUAUUAAUUACAAAGGGAAGAAAGAGUAACUUUACCAUGGAGAAAUCUAGCAGACACCAAUCAGUGACCAAAGUUAAUAUCACCAGUAAUGAGGUGAAUCAAAAUUGUCACCAUUGCUAUGAUAUUCCUAUCAAAGAUGCAAUCCUAAAUCUAUUCAUAAGAAAACAUUAGGUGAACUCAAAUUGAGAGUUAUUCUACAAAAUAAUUGGCCUGUAAUCUUCAAAAGUGUUAAGGUCAUAAAAGCCAAGAAAGACUAGGGAACUGUUCCACACUGAAGAAAACCAAACAGAUAUGACAACAAAAUGAAACACAUGAUGCUGAACUGGACCCCUUUGCUAUGAAGGACAUCAUUGAGAAAAUUGAGGAAACUUGACAGAAUUUGAGGAUUAUAUGGUAGUAGCCUAUCACUGUUAAUUUGCUGACUUUGAUGGUAAUAUGGUUAUGUAGAAGAAUGUUUAUAGGGAAUACAUAGAAGUAGUCAUGUAAGUUGAGUGAUCAUGUUAGCAACUACACUCAAAAAAUUUCAAAAAAGUUCUUUUACUGUACUUACAACAUUUUACAACUUCGAGAUUGUCUUUAAAUACAAAGUAAAUGGAAAGCAUACAAAUGAAAGAGAAAAAAUACCAAAUCCACUCUGAAAGAAGGAAAAGCCACAUGAGAUUGUUCACAUAGGAAAAGGAUGAUACAAUGAAAUGAAAGAAAGAAUAAAGUUUGUAAAUCUCAAUAUUCUCCUAGAAGAUAAUCAUAACAAACAUUGUUUUAGAAAUGUAUGCCUCCUGAGAUUCAAAUAAUCAGUUUCACUGUUAGUAUGAAUCAUAACUUCAUUUAAUGCAGGAGUGCUUUACAUUUCUUUCCACUAUCAGUCAAAAUUUCUCCUAAAUAAAGGACAUGUUGGGGUUAUUGUAGAAAAAUAGUCUAGCAUAUCUCUGGCUACCCUGCUUUAGUUCAUGAUGACUAAAUAAUUGAAAACUGUUCUGUAUCACAGAGGGGAAAAAAUGUCUUUUCUACCAUGAAAAUUAAGAGUCCAUUGGUUAAAAGAAAGGCUCUAGACAUUAGAGCAGGAGCAUCCCGAUGAUUUGUUUUUAAUGAAUGAGUAAGGAGUUGUGAGCUCCUGGGCAAUUGAACCUCAUACAUAUGCCUGACAUUUUCAAAUUAAACAAGUGCUGAUCAUUAUUAGAGUGGCAUGGGCCUUUGAGAAAAUUAAGAAGUUUAUAAGAAUUACAUUACAAAUAUCUAACAGAGUAAGGAAUUACCAUUAUCACUUGAAGCGAAGAGACGUUAUCACCAUCAAGCAUUUUUUUAAAAAAGAAUAAGAAUAGAGAAGAAUAAAGAAAAAAAGAAAUCAGAGUCAAGUAGAUUCAAUAGAGUAAAUGGAGAAACAUCUCAGAAUAAUCAGAAAAUUAAGACAAAACUUACCUGGUCUGAGGCAACAUAAAAUAACAAAGGCCUCAUAAGUUUAUUUUAUACUAAUCCAACCAAUAUGCUUGGGAAAUGUAUGUGUUCCUGUAAAUACCUGGAAGACAUGCAAUGAUUCCUGGCUGUAAACCAAGAGAAGAAAAAUUCAUCAAAGUUACAGUCUCCAUCAAUAAGCUUGAAUUGUUUACUAAUAAUCAGAGGCACUAAAGAGUUAGGAAAGGUCUAGGAUGUGUCUUAGAGGGGAAAAAAGUUGUACCGCUCUACAUCUUCUCCUUAAAAUGGAAAGAGUAGAACACUAUGGGAGCUCCUGUAGAUGGGAACAAAAAUCAGAAAAUGAGGCAAUAUUUUCAUUUCUACAACCCUCUUGACACUGCCAGUCCCAGUUCACUGAUCCAAUUGUACAGAAACAUAGUUGACGGAGAUUCUUAAUUAGAACAUUUUUCUUGAAAAAUUUUUGAUAGAGAACAUUUUGAAAUUUAUUUUUAUUGCUUUCCCCCACUUGAUCUUGACUGAUUAGAUCAAACAUACAUUAGCUCUGUCAGUGUCCAGGUUUUAGCCCGAACUGGAGAGAGAGAAUGCAGGGAACUUUCUUCAUUUAACUAAGUAAACACUGCCACAAGAAAAAGCGUUUGCUGAGGAAAGAGACGAACAAAAUUGCUUUUACAAGGUAGACUUGUUAAGGGCUGCAUGGCUGUGUGUUUCUUUGGUGCUUUUCCUGGCCUUUUCACCAAGCUUUGGGGAUCUGGCUCUGAAGUUUGUGCUUCCCACCAUCCAUGGUCCACCUGCCCGCCCCUUCUGGAAUGUUUUCAACUGGACACCUAAGAAUUUGUGUAAGGAGAAUUGUUUCUCCUGCUCUUUCUCCUGACAGAAAUUACUGACCUUGCUGGUUUUCUAUCAAAAGAAAAAAAAAUUCUUUCACAUGAAUCUAGUAGUUAGGUAACAUUUUUGUAAGAUUACAUAAACAAAAUAAUGGUU